RNAcentral lists this microRNA precursor (68 nucleotides) under Erinaceus europaeus (western European hedgehog). Its description in RNAcentral is "miRNA (ENSEEUG00000022199.1)". The record is from RNAcentral. Lineage: Eukaryota; Metazoa; Chordata; Mammalia; Eulipotyphla; Erinaceidae.
GUUCCCUGGUGGUCUAGUGGUUAGGAUUCAGUGCUCUCACCGCCGCUACCUGGGUUUAAUUCCCAGUC